UGGGGAAUAUUGGGCAAUGGGGGAAACCCUGACCCAGCAACGCCGCGUGAAGGAAGAAGGCUUUCGGGUUGUAAACUUCUUUUAUGUGGGACGAAAAAAAUGACGGUACUACAUGAAUAAGCCACGGCUAACUACGUGCCAGCAGCCGCGGUAAUACGUAGGUGGCGAGCGUUGUCCGGAUUUCCUGGGUGUAAAGGGCGCGUAGGCGGGAGGACAAGUCAGAUGUGAAAUACCCGGGCUCAACCCGGGAACUGCAUUUGAAACUGUUUUUCUUGAGUGAUGGAGAGGCAAGUGGAAUUCCUAGUGUAGCGGUGAAAUGCGUAGAUAUUAGGAGGAACACCAGUGGCGAAGGCGACUUGCUGGACAUUAACUGACGCUGAGGCGCGAAAGCGUGGGGAGCAAACA
Molecule: ribosomal RNA, 405 nt
Filed under: uncultured prokaryote
Description: bacterial SSU rRNA
Rfam family: Bacterial small subunit ribosomal RNA
Source: RNAcentral